CGCUAGCGACAGGCUUAACACAUGCAAGUCGAGGGGCAGCACAGGUAGCAAUACCGGGUGGCGACCGGCGCACGGGUGAGUAACGCGUAUGCAACUUGCCUAUCAGAGGGGGAUAACCCGGCGAAAGUCGGACUAAUACCGCAUGAAGCAGGGGCCCCGCAUGGGGAUAUUUGCUAAAGAUUCAUCGCUGAUAGAUAGGCAUGCGUUCCAUUAGGCAGUUGGCGGGGUAACGGCCCACCAAACCGACGAUGGAUAGGGGUUCUGAGAGGAAGGUCCCCCACAUUGGUACUGAGACACGGACCAAACUCCUACGGGAGGCAGCAGUGAGGAAUAUUGGUCAAUGGCCGAGAGGCUGAACCAGCCAAGUCGCGUGAGGGAUGAAGGUUCUAUGGAUCGUAAACCUCUUUUAUAAGGGAAUAAAGUGCGGGACGUGUCCCGUUUUGUAUGUACCUUAUGAAUAAGGAUCGGCUAACUCCGUGCCAGCAGCCGCGGUAAUACGGAGGAUCCGAGCGUUAUCCGGAUUUAUUGGGUUUAAAGGGUGCGUAGGCGGCCUUUUAAGUCAGCGGUGAAAGUCUGUGGCUCAACCAUAGAAUUGCCGUUGAAACUGGGGGGCUUGAGUAUGUUUGAGGCAGGCGGAAUGCGUGGUGUAGCGGUGAAAUGCAUAGAUAUCACGCAGAACCCCGAUUGCGAAGGCAGCCUGCCAAGCCAUUACUGACGCUGAUGCACGAAAGCGUGGGGAUCAAACAGGAUUAGAUACCCUGGUAGUCCACGCAGUAAACGGUGAUCACUAGCUGUUUGCGAUACACUGUAAGCGGCACAGCGAAAGCGUUAAGUGAUCCACCUGGGGAGUACGCCGGCAACGGUGAAACUCAAAGGAAUUGACGGGGGCCCGCACAAGCGGAGGAACAUGUGGUUUAAUUCGAUGAUACGCGAGGAACCUUACCCGGGUUUGAACGCAUUCGGACCGAGGUGGAAACACCUUUUCUAGCAAUAGCCGUUUGCGAGGUGCUGCAUGGUUGUCGUCAGCUCGUGCCGUGAGGUGUCGGCUUAAGUGCCAUAACGAGCGCAACCCUUGCCACUAGUUACUAACAGGUAAAGCUGAGGACUCUGGUGGGACUGCCAGCGUAAGCUGCGAGGAAGGCGGGGAUGACGUCAAAUCAGCACGGCCCUUACAUCCGGGGCGACACACGUGUUACAAUGGCGUGGACAAAGGGAGGCCACCUGGCGACAGGGAGCGAAUCCCCAAACCACGUCUCAGUUCGGAUCGGAGUCUGCAACCCGACUCCGUGAAGCUGGAUUCGCUAGUAAUCGCGCAUCAGCCAUGGCGCGGUGAAUACGUUCCCGGGCCUUGUACACACCGCCCGUCAAGCCAUGGGAGCCGGGGUACCUGAAGUCCGUAACCGAAAGGAUCGGCCUAGGGUAAAACUGGUGACUGGGGCUAAG
Molecule: ribosomal RNA, 1443 nt
Filed under: uncultured organism
Description: SSU rRNA
Rfam family: Bacterial small subunit ribosomal RNA
Source: RNAcentral